This is a long non-coding RNA of Betta splendens (Siamese fighting fish), 1938 nucleotides long. RefSeq lists it as uncharacterized. The record is from RefSeq and is a predicted model, not a curated record. NCBI's taxonomy places the organism in Eukaryota, Metazoa, Chordata, Actinopteri, Anabantiformes, Osphronemidae. The transcript has 7 exons.
AGAUGAAGACGUCGGGGUUUCAGUGCUCCGAUGUCCUUCACACGGCUGGGUCCGUGAACGCAACUUACGCACCUGUGUCUAAUGAAAACGGAACGUUAGAAAUGAAAACGCUCAGAUAAAACAGCAAGCGGCACAUUGAAGACCUGCUCCCGUGUUUAAACAGCGUCUGGAAGUGGCAGCACUGACAUGAAUGGGUUUUAAAAGGAUCAACAAUGACAACCCUGCGCUUGCGAACAGAGGACUUGGAUGAUGUCUUCCUCUCACGCUUCUUUUCUUUAAGCAUCAGAAGAGCCAGGUCCGUUUCUGGAUCUUUCAUACACCUCUCCAUCAGCUGCAGGGAUCAGCAUGGGCACCCUGACCUGGUUGCAGCUGCACAACCUUGAACAGUCAAGAGCUGCAGACACUGAAGUAAGUGCAUAAAUUCUCCACUAGAGGACUAACUGAUAUAAGCAUUUAAUCCUACAACUUGUUUAUUGUCUCACAUAAAUAGCUGUAUAACAGAUUAUAAGCCUGCAAAUUUAAAGUUUAAACCAUGGUAAUUGUGCCAGGUUAAAAUGUGAAAAAUCCUGAACCUUCCCUUCACUACAGGUGAGGGUGUGAUGUGUAGAGGAGUGAUAUGAACGGAGAGGCUCUAACAAAUAAUACCUGGUGCAUUAGAUAAUUCAUCUCUGAAGCGAGUGAUUAAUAUUCACCAUGGCAAAGCACUGGCAAGCAGGUCGAAGGAUCAAACACAAGAGUAAGUUAGAAAAGACGAAGAGGGGAAAAACUAAAGUCCACAUCUUACAAGGCUGAGAGCUGGACUGAAGCCUUUUAAUCACAAGUGAGUGAUUUUAGGAGGAAAUAAAAUAUCAAAUUAAAACUAUUGGACAAGCAGUCCAAGCAGGAAGACAUGAAUUUAGUAAUGAUGCCAAAUUAGACAUGGUGUGAUUACUACAGUGUUGGAAAUGAGACACAGUACUGUCUGUACUGUAGUGGGAAUGUGAUGCGCUGCGAUACUAGGAUGAAACCGUUUGCUUCACCACGUCACGCUCUCCAUCGCGCUGAACACUAGCAGAGUAAAUGUUGUGCUAAUAUGUCUGAAACCAACUCCUCCCGGUCAUUAGUGUGGUUUGAGUUUUCCUACAGAAGCUGAUGCUGUGUCAAAGAGCUCUGACCUCAUCAUCCUCCAGGCGACGCUGUGUCUCCAGGAUGAACUUGAUGUACUGGCUGGUGAGAGUCGACAGCUCACUGUAGCGAGUUCUCAGAGUCACAUACUGAAAGAAAUGGAGGCGCAGAGCAGUUAACCAACGAGGCGAUGCUAUGGGAUCCUGGAGGGCUCGAUAGGCCAAGAUCUGGAACUCGUAAUCCUGCAGGAGGGAAAACACUGUAAAAGGGACCUCACUCUGUUGUAAACCUGAACAGGCUUUCAGCGGCUCUUUGUCCACCGGCUGACGAAGACGCGUCACCGUCCGGCUCUCGCAACCAUCCAGCUUCAGACGAAGAUCUUUUAUCUUGGUCAGGUACUGCCAGGACAGAAGACUCUUCAGGUCCACAAACAUGGUCUGCCACAUGGUCUCCAGUCGCUGGAGGUUCCCGUCCAGCCUGAGGAGCAGAAAGCAAAGUUUCCCACUUGUUCACUGGAUGUCAGUGACUAAUCUACAGCCUGGACCGACUCUCACCCAGCGACGCUGUUCACUGCAUCUUUGUUGGUGGGAGGAACCAGGAAGCAGAUGGAAGGCACAGACGCCUCGCUGCCUUUGUCAUUCAGCACCCUCCACUUAUAAGGCUGCGAGUUGUUCAGCAGAGCACAUUCAUCCCCUCUGUGAACUGUGAUCUGGAAGAAGAGCACAGAUUCUUGUGAUUGGUCACUGAACUAAACUGUACUCUGUGUAUUCCUGUCAAUUUGUAUCUUUUAAGUAAAUGACUUAACUUGCAAUAAAUAUAAGCACAGUGAUGACA